AGAAGGCAUCGAUUUCCGUUCAGUGAGUUAUCAAUGACUGAAAUGUACUCGGAAUACCCUCACAUCUCGCGCGCUCGCCCCAUUUGGCAUAGAGUGAGACAACUCCGCCUUUAUUAGAUAUUCCCUUUCAUUCUGGGUUAUCGGUGAGCUCCAUCGUUGGGCCAAUUGCGGCGCUCGCGGUCUUGGGGUCGUAUAAAAUAUCCAGCCUGCUCGUAAACAGAAUCACGCUGCCUUAAUCAACGAGAUGGAACGGCGUAGAGCAUACCUCUUAUUUCGUGCAGGUUUUUCCGAAGAAUUCUAAAAUAUUGACAAUCAAGAAUUGAGGAAGUCUUAAGACUUUAGUCGUAUACUUCCUGCUAGUGGUAACGAGUGGUUUUACACUUUUCUGAACUGGACUGCGACAUCAAAUGUGCUCUUAAAAUUAACUACGCUAAUUUUUCAAUGGAGCUUUUGACACUGCCCUCGGGAUAAGAGGGAAAACUCAUCACAUAACCACGGGUUUGGGUCUCAGGGAAGAAUGAGUCGUUCUCUGGCCACGUGGGUCAUCAUUUUUUUACUAGCUAGAGUAGAGGCUGCUGAUAUCUAUAAAAUCGUUAUCCUGACAGAGCAAGAGUCUGGACCGAAGGAGUCGGCUUUCAAAGGAGGGCUUCGAUCCUCGAGAGGGGAUAUUGAGCUUGCUGUGACGUCACUGGAUGUGGAUCGCAUGAACGAAGAGGCCAGUUAUGAGAAA
This 730-nucleotide long non-coding RNA is filed under the name Bemisia tabaci. Its description in RNAcentral is "lncRNA ENSASIAIIG012661". The record is from RNAcentral. Lineage: Eukaryota; Metazoa; Arthropoda; Insecta; Hemiptera; Aleyrodidae.